Molecule: transfer RNA, 80 nt
Filed under: Schizophyllum amplum
Lineage: Eukaryota; Fungi; Basidiomycota; Agaricomycetes; Agaricales; Schizophyllaceae
Description: Auriculariopsis ampla tRNA
Rfam family: tRNA
About the family: Transfer RNA (tRNA) molecules are approximately 80 nucleotides in length. Their secondary structure includes four short double-helical elements and three loops (D, anti-codon, and T loops).
Source: Rfam by way of RNAcentral
GCCCUCAUGGUCUAGUGGUAAGAUACCUGCUUUGGGCUUGUCCUUGCAGGUGAUCCUCGGUUCGAACCCGGGUGGGGGCC